Epinephelus lanceolatus (giant grouper) is the source of this 528-nucleotide non-coding RNA. Lineage: Eukaryota; Metazoa; Chordata; Actinopteri; Perciformes; Serranidae. The record is from RefSeq and is a predicted model, not a curated record.
UGCAGAGACACUGAGAGGUGACUUUUUCCCUUUGUUUCAGUGUAUUUAUAUAUCCACAAUUCUACCAGCCCUCCUGGAGACUGUGAUGCACUGAGGACCAACAUUUGCCUUUUAGUCAAAGUGCAGCAUCAGUGGCAGCAACACAGCAAACCUGCAGACUGAGAGAGUUUCCACUGAGCUGCAGCAGAAAACAGCCGAGUCGACACAAAGAGAGACAGAAGAAGAAGACGAACUGCAGUGUCAGCUGAUGUUUCUUCUGCCUGAAGUUUCAAAUCUCAGAGCAGCAUAAUGAAGAUCUGCUGAGGCCUGUGGAGACAUCACCAUCAUCAUCAUCAUCAUCAUCAUCAUCAUCACAGGUAAGGAGCAGCAGCAGUGUGACGAACAGCUGACCCAGGACCAGGAUGAUGAUGAAGCCCAUGAACUGAAGAGGACAAGUCACAGAGUGAAUGAUUAAAAUUCAUCUUUACGUUGCUUCACAUCCAGGUCGGAACACCUUCUCACCACAAACCAACCGCACGAGAGUUCCUU